Small nuclear RNA from Bison bison bison, 106 nucleotides. The record is from Ensembl. NCBI's taxonomy places the organism in Eukaryota, Metazoa, Chordata, Mammalia, Artiodactyla, Bovidae.
ACGCUCACUUUGGCAGCACAUUUACUAAAACUGGAAUGAUACAGAGAAGAUUCGUAUGGUCCCUGAGCAAGGAUGGAUGAGUAUUCAUGAAGCAUUCCAUAUUUUU